Molecule: ribosomal RNA, 471 nt
Filed under: uncultured bacterium
Lineage: Bacteria
Description: partial 16S ribosomal RNA
Rfam family: Bacterial small subunit ribosomal RNA
Source: RNAcentral
GACGAACGCUGGCGGCGUGCUUAACACAUGCAAGUCGAACGAUGAAGCCUAGCUUGCUAGGUGGAUUAGUGGCGAACGGGUGAGUAAUACGUGAGUAACCUACCUUUAACUCUGGGAUAAGCCUGGGAAACUGGGUCUAAUACCGGAUACGACCAAUCUCCGCAUGGGGUGUUGGUGGAAAGCGCUAUGUAGUGGUUAUAGAUGGGCUCACGGCCUAUCAGCUUGUUGGUGAGGUAACGGCCCACCAAGGCGACGACGGGUAGCCGGCCUGAGAGGGUGACCGGCCACACUGGGACUGAGACACGGCCCAGACUCCUACGGGAGGCAGCAGUGGGGAAUAUUGCACAAUGGGCGCAAGCCUGAUGCAGCGACGCCGCGUGAGGGAUGACGGCCUUCGGGUUGUAAACCUCUGUUAGCAGGGAAGAAGAGAGAUUGACGGUACCUGCAGAGAAAGCGCCGGCUAACUACGUG